GACGAACGCUGGCGGCGUGCUUAACACAUGCAAGUCGAACGGUAAGGCCCUUCGGGGUACACGAGUGGCGAACGGGUGAGUAACACGUGGGUGAUCUGCCCUGCACUUUGGGAUAAGCCUGGGAAACUGGGUCUAAUACCGGAUAGGACCACGGCCUGCAUGGGUUGUGGUGGAAAGCUUUUGCGGUGUGGGAUGGGCCCGCGGCCUAUCAGCUUGUUGGUGGGGUGAUGGCCUACCAAGGCGACGACGGGUAGCCGGCCUGGGAGGGUGUCCGGCCACACUGGGACUGAGAUAAGGCCCAGACUCCUACGGGAGGCAGCAGUGGGGAAUAUUGCACAAUGGGCGCAAGCCUGAUGCAGCGACGCCGCGUGGGGGAUGACGGCCUUCGGGUUGUAAACCUCUGUCACCAGGGACGAAGCGCAAGUGACGGUACCUGGAGAAGAAGCACCGGCCAACUACGUGCCAGCCGCCGCGGUAA
This 478-nucleotide ribosomal RNA is filed under the name uncultured bacterium. RNAcentral's name for it is "partial 16S ribosomal RNA". It matches the Rfam family "Bacterial small subunit ribosomal RNA", at positions 28 to 523 of the family's 1533-position model. The record is from RNAcentral.